Oncorhynchus mykiss (rainbow trout) is the source of this 708-nucleotide non-coding RNA. The record is from RefSeq and is a predicted model, not a curated record. NCBI's taxonomy places the organism in Eukaryota, Metazoa, Chordata, Actinopteri, Salmoniformes, Salmonidae.
CACACACACACACACACACACACACACACACACACACACACACACACACACAGGUAAGACAACCCUCCAGGUCUUUACCAGAUUAUUAAAUUAUUCAGUGUGUCAGGAUCUGAACUACACACACACACCAUCCCUCCUCUCUCUCGUAGGUAAUGAUACUGGGUGUGUAUCCGAUCAGGGUGAUUCUCCGAACUGUAAUGUGACAAACGACCCAGCCAUGUGCACAGUCAUAGAGAUAGCGGAAGAAGGUGAAGGGGACUCAGAUGAGUCUCCUCCAGAGCCAUCAGAGUUCUCCCAGGCCAGCUUUGACAUGUCCAGUUUCAUAGGAGGCAUCAUCCUGGUGCUGUGUGUGCAGGCUGGGGGAUUCUUCGCCAUGCGCUUCCUCAAGAAAGAUACCACCUACGACCCCAUAGAGCAGCCAGCCUAGAGGAGAGGAGAGAGAGAAGAGGAGGACAGUGAAAGAUGAAGGAGGGAGGGAUGAGGGGGAGCUGUGACUCACCAUGCUGUCACGAUGCUUUGCAUGACGUCAAUCUACCAUACUCCAGUGUGUGUGUUAUACUUUUUUGUGUGUCCCAGAUGUGCACCUGUCGGUCAUUUUGUUUGUUUGACUGGCCCUCCAUUAUGUUGUGUAACUCCUGUUUAUGUGUGUGUGUGCCCAUGUGUGUGUGUGCCCAUGUGUGUGUGUGUCCGUGUGUGUGUGUGUCCAUG